RNAcentral lists this ribosomal RNA (460 nucleotides) under uncultured bacterium. Its description in RNAcentral is "partial 16S ribosomal RNA". It matches the Rfam family "Bacterial small subunit ribosomal RNA", at positions 338 to 795 of the family's 1533-position model. The record is from RNAcentral.
CCUACGGGAGGCUGCAGUGAGGAAUAUUGGUCAAUGGGCGUAAGCCUGAACCAGCCAAGUCGCGUGAGGGAUGAAGGUUCUAUGGAUCGUAAACCUCUUUUAUAAGGGAAUAAAGUGUGGGACGUGUCCUGUUUUGUAUGUACCUUAUGAAUAAGGAUCGGCUAACUCCGUGCCAGCAGCCGCGGUAAUACGGAGGAUCCGAGCGUUAUCCGGAUUUAUUGGGUUUAAAGGGUGCGUAGGCGGCCUUUUAAGUCAGCGGUGAAAGUCUGUGGCUCAACCAUAGAAUUGCCGUUGAAACUGGAGGGCUUGAGUAUGUAUGGGGAAGCCGGAAUGCGUGGUGUAGCGGUGAAAUGCUUAGAUAUCACGAAGAACCCCGAUUGCGAAGGCAGGCGGCCAGGGUAUGACUGACGCUGAUGCACGAAAGCGUGGGGAUCAAACAGGAUUAGAUACCCGAGUAGUC